UCCAUGUGAUGAUGAUAUGCUCCCUGACACUCAGCUGGAGGUCAAACUGAUUUAAUGAGCCUGAUGG
Small nucleolar RNA from Branchiostoma floridae (Florida lancelet), 67 nucleotides. The record is from RefSeq and is a predicted model, not a curated record. NCBI's taxonomy places the organism in Eukaryota, Metazoa, Chordata, Leptocardii, Amphioxiformes, Branchiostomatidae.